AUACGGAGGAUCCGAGCGUUAUCCGGAUUUAUUGGGUUUAAAGGGUGCGCAGGCGGGAGAUUAAGUCGGCGGUGAAAUUUUGCAGCUCAACUGUAAAAGUGCCUUCGAAACUGGUUUCCUUGAGUGUAGAUGAAGUAGGCGGAAUUUGUGGUGUAGCGGUGAAAUGCAUAGAUAUCACGAGGAACUCCGAUUGCGCAGGCAGCUUACUAAACUACUACUGACGCUCAGGCACGAAGGCGUGGGGAUCAAACAGGAUUAGAUACCCUGGUAGUCUACGCAGUAAACGAUGAUUACUAGCUGUUUGCGAUACAAUGUAAGCGGCUGAGCGAAAGCGUUAAGUAAUCCACCUGGGGAGUACGUUCGCAAGAAUGAAACUCAAAUGAAUUGACGGG
RNAcentral lists this ribosomal RNA (392 nucleotides) under uncultured bacterium. RNAcentral's name for it is "partial 16S ribosomal RNA". It matches the Rfam family "Bacterial small subunit ribosomal RNA", at positions 523 to 917 of the family's 1533-position model. The record is from RNAcentral.